This 253-nucleotide ribosomal RNA is filed under the name uncultured bacterium. RNAcentral describes it as "partial 16S ribosomal RNA". It matches the Rfam family "Bacterial small subunit ribosomal RNA", at positions 524 to 776 of the family's 1533-position model. The record is from RNAcentral.
UACGUAGGUGGCAAGCGUUGUCCGGAUUUAUUGGGUUUAAAGGGUGCGUAGGCGGCCCUGUAAGUCAGUGCUGAAAUAUCCCGGCUUAACCGGGAGGGUGGCAUUGAUACUGCAGGGCUUGAGUGAAGUCGAGGUAGGCGGAAUUGACGGUAUAGCGGUGAAAUGCUUAGAUAUCGUCAAGAACACCGAUAGUGAAGACAGCUUACUAGGCUUAUACUGACGCUGAGGCACGAAAGUGUGGGGAUCAAACAGG